Molecule: ribosomal RNA, 406 nt
Filed under: uncultured bacterium
Lineage: Bacteria
Description: partial 16S ribosomal RNA
Rfam family: Bacterial small subunit ribosomal RNA
Source: RNAcentral
AUUGAACGCUGGCGGCAUGCUUUACACAUGCAAGUCGAACGAGUGGCGAACGGGUGAGUAAUAUAGCGGACCGUACCGCGUAAUGGGGGAUAACCAAUCGAAAGAUUGGCUAAUACCGCAUAUUAUUCGAGCGGCCGCUAACGUAUUAGCUGGUUGGUGGGGUAAAGGCCUACCAAGGCGACGAUCAGUAGCGGGUCUGAGAGGAGGAACCGGCACACUGGGACUGAGAAACGGCCCGGACCCAGACGGGAGGCAGCGGUGGAGAAUGUUGGACAAGGGAGUCAACCCUGGUCCAGCCAUGCCGCGUGUAUUAAGAAGGCCUUCGGGUUUUAAAGUACUUUUGUUAGGGAAGCGGUACCUAAAGAAUAAGCACCGGCUAACUACGUGCCAGCAGCCGCGGUAAUUC